RNAcentral lists this ribosomal RNA (215 nucleotides) under uncultured bacterium. RNAcentral describes it as "partial 16S ribosomal RNA". It matches the Rfam family "Bacterial small subunit ribosomal RNA", at positions 120 to 334 of the family's 1533-position model. The record is from RNAcentral.
AGCAACCUGCCUUUCAGUGGGGGACGAAAGUUGGAAACGACUGCUAAUACCGCAUAAUGCAUUUUGUACCGCAUGGUCGAGAUGCCAAAGAUUUAUUGCUGAAAGAUGGGCUCGCGUCUGAUUAGAUAGUUGGUGAGGUAACGGCCCACCAAGUCGACGAUCAGUAGCCGGACUGAGAGGUUGAACGGCCACAUUGGGACUGAGAUACGGCCCAG